GAUGAAGAACGCAGCGAAAUGCGAUAAGUAAUGCGAAUUGCAGAAUUCAGUGAGUCAUCGAAUCUUUGAACGCACAUUGCGCCUUGUGGUAUUCCGCAGGGCAUGCCUGUUCGAGCGUCAUUUCAACCCUCAAGCUCUGCUUGGUGUUGGGCCCUGCCCGCUCGCGGCCGGCCCUAAAGACAGUGGCGGUGCCGUCUGGCUCUAAGCGUAGUACAUCUCUCGCUCUGGUGCCCGGCGGUGUCCUGCCAGAACCCCCCAACUCUGUGGUUGACCUCGGAUCAGGUAGGGAUACCCGCUGAACUUAAGCAUAUCAAUAAGCGGAGGA
RNAcentral lists this unclassified non-coding RNA (325 nucleotides) under soil metagenome. Its description in RNAcentral is "partial contains 5.8S ribosomal RNA, internal transcribed spacer 2, and large subunit ribosomal RNA". The stretch from base 1 to 120 matches the Rfam family "5.8S ribosomal RNA", at positions 35 to 154 of the family's 154-position model. The record is from RNAcentral.